CACACACACACCACCCCACACAUCAACAAAAUGAAGUGGAUGAAGAUCGUCUACACAUCUCUACAAGCUUGUUAGUGAUUACAGAAAGGAACUUGGUGCUGUUUCGCUCUCCAGGACCUGUCAGGCUUAAUUAAUUAAUUACCGGGGUGCCAAUCAUUUUGAAGUCAAUGUUUUGUGGGGAAACAUGUAGCACUAAAACUAUAGAACAUCACUGUCCAGCAGAGUCCUCAACACAGCGCACACAUCAGGACCACAGGGCUGGACAGCUGGACCAGACAAAGAGCUUCCCUGGGCUUCUGGAACGAUCAACUGAAGACAUACAGUAUCAAGCACAACUCAGCCGUUGUUUAGAAGUCUGCUCGGUCUCCUGUUUGUCUGGCUGUAAAAAGGAAUUCAUGCAGAGUCUAUGAACUGGUGAUCUUUCCUCUUGCCUCAUCUCGAAAAAUUGUAUGGCAGCAUCAGAAAGGCAUUGUCUUUGGAAAGCUGUUUGAACGUUCCUGUUGAAAAGUCACUCUGAGAUCUUUUGAUCGUGGAGGAGGAGAAGAAGGGGAACGGAGAACAGAGUGAGAAGGACCAGGAGAUAACUUGUCAUCUGAAAGAUUCAAAAUGGCACUGUUAUUGUUUAAUCGUUUGUAGUUAUUCGCUUGUUUGAACGUUGCAUGUUCUGCGUCUCUUACAUUCAUCAAGGCUGGAGUUGUGCAAUUCCAUAACUCCAAACUGCCUUAACUCCUUAUCUGCAGAUACCAGAGUGUUGCUGUUCAAGAGUAAAUAGUACACAUAAUAGAAUUAUGUCUUCACAUUC
Ictalurus punctatus (channel catfish) is the source of this 802-nucleotide long non-coding RNA. Lineage: Eukaryota; Metazoa; Chordata; Actinopteri; Siluriformes; Ictaluridae. The record is from Ensembl.